CGUGUCCCACUCCAUCUUUUUUUAAUUUUCCAGUGGAAAAAGCCAGGACUACUCAGCUUUUGCAAGUUGUUUCUUCAGAGGGUUCAGGUUUCGGUAAACAAUUGCUCAAAACUAAAAGGUUAUAUUUAUCCACGAGCUCCAGGAACCAGAUGUGGGAUCGAGGGGCUGUGCUGCACCAGCUUCCUGCCUUCCUGCAAACACCGGGUCCACCUGCCCUGCACAGAGCAGGACACAGCCUGGAGAGCCAGGAAACUGUGCAAGGUCAGCACAGCCGGGGGAGGGGACAGGGAAAAACGUGUCACCUGCCUGGUCCUGCACAGGGGGCAUUGCUCCCAUGAGCUGGUGAUGUUCAUGGGACAGAGGAGCAAACCGGGGCUUGGAUUUUUGGCAGUUGACUGAAAAAAAAAACACCCCAAAACCUCAACAUAAAAAUGCAGAGUUUCAGUUCAGAAAGAGAUGGUAGUGAGAGAGCAGGGCUUGACCCAUCCAGGGCUACUCUGAGCCAGCCACCCCUCAGGAGAAGGAAGGAACACCUCAGAGCAGCUCUGAGUACAGCACGGGGGGCUCUGCCUCCCCCUCAGCCGUGCAGGGCUCAGGCUCUGCCAGCAGCAUUUGCAGCCUGUGAAUGGCUCCAGAGCUGGGUGAGACACUGAGACACCACGGCUGAGCCCUCACACCAAAGUACAAACUGAAACCACCCUGGCAGUGCCCAAGGCCAGGCUGGAUGGGGCCCUGAGCCACCUGGUCCAGUGGGAGGUGUCCCUGCCAUGGCAGGGGUGGAACUGGAUGAGCUUUACGGUCCCUUCCAACCCAAACCAUUCUGGGAUUCAGGGAUUUAUUUCUUUUCUUGUCAUCUCUGUGCACUUGGCCUCCAACAGUCCAUCCCAGGCUGUCCCUCCCCUGUUCCAGGAGAUAUUCAGGCACAUAAAGCCACUGUAGAUUUCCACAUUUUCCCAUCUCUGACACAGAAGCCUGCAGGCACAAAUCCCCAAAGCUGGGGAAGCUGGGCUGGGGAGAUGAGAGCAGCUCUGCAGGGCUGUGCAGCAGGAGCCACCCCAGCUUCCCAAAGUCACCUCUGCAGGAGGAGAUCCCACUCCAGGCCCACUAUCUCCAGAGCCAUCUCCCAGCUCUGCCAUGGGCAGCACUCAAGUGCUUCCCCCCCUCAAAUUCCACUGCACCUGGGAAAAAUGUAGGAGCUCGUAGGAGAAUCAAUAAAUAUUUAUUGUUUAACCAGCA
Molecule: long non-coding RNA, 1236 nt
Organism: Pyrgilauda ruficollis (rufous-necked snowfinch)
Lineage: Eukaryota; Metazoa; Chordata; Aves; Passeriformes; Passeridae
Exons: 2
Source: RefSeq, a predicted model, not a curated record